GCUGACUCUCUUUUCAGACUCAGCCCACUUGCACCCAAGUGAAUUAACAGCCUUGUUGCUCACACAAAGCCUGUUUAGGUGGUCUUCUAUACGGACAUGCUUGACACUUGGUGCCAAAAUCUGGGCCAGGGGGACUCCUUCGUGAGACCGGCCCCCUGUCCUGGCCCUCAUUCCGUGAAGAGAUCCACCUGCGACCUCGGGUCCUCAGACCAGCCCAAGGAACAUCUCACCAAUUUCAAAUCGGAUCUCCUCGGCUUAGUGGCUGAAGACUGAUGCUGCCCGAUCGCCUCAGAAGCCCCUUGGACCAUCACAGAUGCCGAGCUUCGGGUAACUCUUACGGUGGAGGAUUCCCAGCCAUAUGAAGACACCCUAGCUGGACGAUCAGUCCUUGUCAAAAGUCUGACCCCUCAAACUCUACAGCCUCAAUGGACCAGACCCUACCCGGUCAUUUAUAGCACACCAACUGCCGUCCAUCUGCAGGACCCUCUCCAUUGGGUUCACCAUUCCAGAAUAAAGCCAUGCCCAUCAGACAGCCAGCUUGAUCUCUCCUCUUCCUCCUGGAAGCCACAAGAUUAGGCCGAGAGCCGAUCAGACAAACAACCUACAACCCUUAAGCUCCUGGCAGCGCCCAGCCAAGGCCAUGCUUCCUUGCAACACUCCUUCCAAAUGGCCAUCCCAGCAUGCUUCCAAGCAGGCUUCAUCCGUUCCUCUGGACCCUCAUCUCUUAAGACCUGCCGCCUAUAAAAAGGAUUAUAUCUUGAGACCCUAUCCUCUAAAAUUUUUUCCACACCCAAAACAAAAAAUCUCUGGGUCAAAAGUCUAAAACGCUUAGGCUGGCAACCAUCAGAUCCUUGCCCAUGGUGUCCUCAAGCCUACUCUCAUGAAAUGGACAACAGUACACGCAUAUGGGGCCAGUUCCACAUAUUUGGCAACCAGACCAGCAUCCAGGACAACACAAAGUAUGUUGUUUGUUGUUAGAGGGCUUGGGACAUUUCACUCUUUGCCAGCCUCAGCUUAAUCCAGGAGACAAAGAUUAUUUUCCUUAUUAUCUCUUCUGCAUAGGAUCUGCAAUCAGAACUAUUGAACUUCUCCAUUCAGACCGCCACUCACACCUAUGGGAAAAGGGUGUCCACGCAGUCCCUGGUCACACUUGAAGCAGUCCGGAGAAAUAUCAGCCCUACCCCAGUAAUCCCCAGAAGGAACUUACACUUUUUUUUAAUCUUUUCCUACAACUUCAUAUUUUAUAAAUAAAAAGACAAAAAUGUCA
RNAcentral lists this long non-coding RNA (1267 nucleotides) under Homo sapiens (human). RNAcentral describes it as "non-protein coding UCA1:38". The stretch from base 575 to 649 matches the Rfam family "Urothelial cancer associated 1 conserved region". The record is from RNAcentral. Lineage: Eukaryota; Metazoa; Chordata; Mammalia; Primates; Hominidae.